This 374-nucleotide ribosomal RNA is filed under the name uncultured organism. RNAcentral's name for it is "partial 16S ribosomal RNA". It matches the Rfam family "Bacterial small subunit ribosomal RNA", at positions 527 to 896 of the family's 1533-position model. The record is from RNAcentral.
GUAGGUGGCAAGCGUUGUCCGGAAUUAUUGGGCGUAAAGCGCGCGCAGGCGGUCCUUUAAGUCUGAUGUGAAAGCCCACGGCUCAACCGUGGAGGGUCAUUGGAAACUGGGGGACUUGAGUACAGAAGAGGAAAGCGGAAUUCCAAGUGUAGCGGUGAAAUGCGUAGAGAUUUGGAGGAACACCAGUGGCGAAGGCGGCUUUCUGGUCUGUAACUGACGCUGAGGCGCGAAAGCGUGGGGAGCAAACAGGGGUUAGAUACCCUGGUAGUCCACGCCGUAAACGAUGAGUGCUAAGUGUUAGGGGGUUUCCCGCCCCCUUAGUGCUGCAGCUAACGCAUUAAGCACUCCGCCUGGGGAGUACGGCCGCAAGGCUG